Nomascus leucogenys (northern white-cheeked gibbon) is the source of this 1401-nucleotide RNA transcript. RefSeq lists it as uncharacterized. NCBI's taxonomy places the organism in Eukaryota, Metazoa, Chordata, Mammalia, Primates, Hylobatidae. The transcript is spliced from 5 exons. The record is from RefSeq and is a predicted model, not a curated record.
CUGGGCAACAGAACAAGACCCUGUCUCAAAUAAAAAAGUGUAUGUAAGAAUAAAAAUUAAUAGAUUAGGCACAGGAUGGGUGUUUAAUUCUCGGCAAUCACCACUAAGUUUUCAUACUGAAGCUUAUUCAUUCCAUGGACAAAACAUUGCGCCAUGUGUGGUGCCUGGGGUGGGCUCCAAAUUCCAGUCCUCUCUUCGCUUGCGAUAGCUGUGAUCCAUUCUUAAGUUUCCUUAUUUGUCCACAGAGCGUACACAGGGUUUUUAUGAAAACUAGAUCAGAUAAUCAGACACAGUUAAAAUAAAACGCGCUCAGUAAAAUUACAUAUUAGUGGAAGAGACAAGCCUUGAAUAAAGCAAUCCCCUUUCGGGGAGUAUGACCCCCUCCCCGAAACCCACUCAGGCGCUGCUGGCUCGCACGCCCACUGAGCUCCGAGCGGAGCCCGAGCCCUUUCCCAGCACACGGGGUUCAUUUCCAGACUUUGAAAGACAUCCCAGAGACAACUCCAGAGGCCAAGGCGGGUCGGCUUCCUGCGUGGGCCCAGCGCCGGGCACUGAAAGGUGAAGGUGCUUCUUCCCGCUCGGAGGAAAGCCUCUGGCGGUUCUCGCUUCGGGGGCUCGGGAUGGACACGCGCGUAGGGCUGGGAAGGUGACGCGCGGACAACGCCGGGGCAAGCGAACUACAACUCCCAGGUAGCUGUGCGCCAAGCGCGCGGCUUAGCGUCGGGCGUGGCCGCGAGGGGCGGCCUAUAUAAGCUCUUGCUCUCGGCUUCAGUGUCCUUUCUCCCCGCCGCAGCGCUGCUGUUGUGUUUUAGCUGCAGACCUCUGCCUGCUUUCCUGCGGGCCGUUCCCUGCUAGUCGCUGCUGCCGGCCCGCACUCGCCGAGUUUUUCUCCCACGGCCUCGAGAUGGUGGUGUACGUGGCACGGAGGGGCCGGGCCUUGCCACCCGGUGGGCCCGAGCUCCGGAAGGCCCCCUCGGCAGUGAGAGGGGCGGGGGCCGCGCGCCCUUCUCUCGCUUCGGCCUGCGCAACGCUGCGCUCUGGGCUGACAGAUGCAGACUCUUAAGAUGACAGAAGGUGAUUCUUCUGGUGAUCGAGGACUCCCGGGGUCAUGACAGUGAUGAAAUGCAGGGGACCUGGUUGCCCCCAAGUUUCCUGGCAGUGUGUGAUACUGAGGAGGUGAGCUUGUUUCUGGAGCUGUGCUUUAAGAUUCAUGUUACAUGUAAAGCUGUCCUCAUUUGUGGCUGGACCUGUGGAGUUGGGACAAUCUCUAUGGGAAGCAGAAGGCAAGACCCCAGCCAUUUUAGGUAGAAACAACAGCACGCUAAUGCCAAAAAUUAUGCAAUGUGCUACUGAACUUCAGAGGCAAUCAAUAGAAGAAGAAUAAAGACUAAUACAAGUAUA